This 497-nucleotide ribosomal RNA is filed under the name uncultured bacterium. RNAcentral describes it as "partial 16S ribosomal RNA". It matches the Rfam family "Bacterial small subunit ribosomal RNA", at positions 28 to 507 of the family's 1533-position model. The record is from RNAcentral.
GAUGAACGCUGGCGGCGUGCCUAAUACAUGCAAGUCGAGCGAACAGACGAGGAGCUUGCUCCUCUGACGUUAGCGGCGGACGGGUGAGUAACACGUGGAUAACCUACCUAUAAGACUGGGAUAACUUCGGGAAACCGGAGCUAAUACCGGAUAAUAUAUUGAACCGCAUGGUUCAAUAGUGAAAGACGGUUUUGCUGUCACUUAUAGAUGGAUCCGCGCCGCAUUAGCUAGUUGGUAAGGUAACGGCUUACCAAGGCAACGAUGCGUAGCCGACCUGAGAGGGUGAUCGGCCACACUGGAACUGAGACACGGUCCAGACUCCUACGAGAGGCAGCAGUAGGGAAUCUUCCGCAAUGGGCGAAAGCUUGACGGAGCAACGCCGCGUGAGUGAUGAAGGUCUUCGGAUCGUAAAACUCUGUUAUUAGGGAAGAACAAUUGUGUAAGUAACUAUGCACGUCUUGACGGUAACUAAUCAGAAAGCCACGGCUAACUACGUG